Etheostoma spectabile (orangethroat darter) is the source of this 142-nucleotide long non-coding RNA. RefSeq lists it as uncharacterized. The record is from RefSeq and is a predicted model, not a curated record. The transcript has 4 exons. NCBI's taxonomy places the organism in Eukaryota, Metazoa, Chordata, Actinopteri, Perciformes, Percidae.
GAGCAUAAUAUGGAUGCUUUAAAGGUCCCAUGACGUGGUGCUCGUUGGAUGCUUUCCUAUAGACCUUAGUGGUCCACUAAAACCAUAUCUGAAGUCUCUUUUAUAUAGACCUUAGUGGUCCUCUAAUACCAUAUCUGGAGUC